CAUUAAGGUCUGGCGUUCUCUCAUUGUGGGCUGGGGUGCUUCAUUAAGGUUGGGGUCUCUCAUUAUGGGCUGGGGUCUCUCAUUAAGGUCUGGGGUCUCUCAUUAUGGGCUGGGGUCUCAUUAAGGUCUGGGGUCUCAUUAAGGUCUGGGGUCUCUCAUUAUGGGCUGGGGUCUCUCAUUAAGGUCUGGGGUCUCUCAUUAUGGGCUGGGGUCUCAUUAUCGGUUCUGGUGGUCUCUCCCUCUAUAGCUCCCCUAUGGGCCUAGCCCGCGCCAUAACUAGGCCGCAAUCCGCCCCCCGCUCCCCUUU
Molecule: long non-coding RNA, 307 nt
Filed under: Coturnix japonica (Japanese quail)
Lineage: Eukaryota; Metazoa; Chordata; Aves; Galliformes; Phasianidae
Description: lncRNA (ENSCJPG00005002623.1)
Source: RNAcentral